Long non-coding RNA from Mytilus trossulus (common blue mussel), 720 nucleotides. RefSeq lists it as uncharacterized. The record is from RefSeq and is a predicted model, not a curated record. NCBI's taxonomy places the organism in Eukaryota, Metazoa, Mollusca, Bivalvia, Mytilida, Mytilidae. The transcript has 3 exons.
CUGAGUUUGUCUGCCUAUAUACAAUGAUUUUAUCUUGUAAAAAGUAUUUUUCUAUAUAAGAGUUGGAAUAUUGUUAUAGUUUAUCUUAAAAGAACAAUCAAGUAAAUUUCUGAAGAUAAAUUAGGAGAGACACUACCAGUAUAAAAACAUAGGGUAGUGGUGGAAAUUUUAUUCUGAGAAAGACCCAAGGUGAAGAGGGAAAUCAAGAGAAAUUCAUCAUGUACCAUUCAAAUGACUUUCUUGAUAAUAAUACCAUCAGUCGGAGACCAUAACAAGGAUAGAGAACUAUCUAGAAACAAUAGAAAACCCUCCUGAGACCAUUAAAAGGAUAAAAAACUAUCAAAAACAAGAAACCAUUACAAUAUUAUAAGACUGUAUAGACAAUAAUACAGUACCAUAUGUAUACUGGAGCAUAGCAAGGUUAAAAGAGAAUUCAUAAACAAUAACAGUUCAAUCCAGAAACCAUUAUAAGGAAAAAGACUAUCUAGACAAUCAUAUAGUACCACCAAGAAACCAUAACAAGGAUAAAGAAAAUAUUUAGAAAAUAAUACACUUUUAUCUACAAACAAUUUAUAAAAAGAAUAAAAGACUAGUCUAGAGAAAAGUAAAGUACCUACAAGGACAGAAAGAAUUAAUAGACUGUAAACCAGUACCAUCCGGAAACCAUUACAAGGAUUAAAGACUAUCUAAACAACAAUACAGUAACCUUCCAGAAACCAU